Molecule: long non-coding RNA, 194 nt
Organism: Xiphophorus hellerii (green swordtail)
Lineage: Eukaryota; Metazoa; Chordata; Actinopteri; Cyprinodontiformes; Poeciliidae
Exons: 2
Source: RefSeq, a predicted model, not a curated record
GGAUUUUUCAGUCUCUAUUGUUGGGGUAGUUGUUUCUGCAGGAAUUGUUGUUGUGUAGGUUUUGGUGUAAUUAUUGGUGUGGAUUUUUCAGUCUCUAUUGUUGGGGUAGUUGUUUCUGCAUGAAUUGUUGUUGUGGAGACUGUUUCUGUAAUUAUGUUUGUAGUUUCAGAUGUUUGAGUGCCAGUAGUUGUAGU